Molecule: ribosomal RNA, 465 nt
Filed under: uncultured Klebsiella sp.
Lineage: Bacteria; Pseudomonadati; Pseudomonadota; Gammaproteobacteria; Enterobacterales; Enterobacteriaceae
Description: bacterial SSU rRNA
Rfam family: Bacterial small subunit ribosomal RNA
Source: RNAcentral
CCUACGGGGGGCAGCAGUGGGGAAUAUUGCACAAUGGGCGCAAGCCUGAUGCAGCCAUGCCGCGUGUGUGAAGAAGGCCUUCGGGUUGUAAAGCACUUUCAGCGGGGAGGAAGGCGGUGAGGUUAAUAACCUCAUCGAUUGACGUUACCCGCAGAAGAAGCACCGGCUAACUCCGUGCCAGCAGCCGCGGUAAUACGGAGGGUGCAAGCGUUAAUCGGAAUUACUGGGCGUAAAGCGCACGCAGGCGGUCUGUCAAGUCGGAUGUGAAAUCCCCGGGCUCAACCUGGGAACUGCAUUCGAAACGGGCAGGCUAGAGUCUUGUAGAGGGGGGUAGAAUUCCAGGUGUAGCGGUGAAAUGCGGAGAGAUCUGGAGGAAUACCGGUGGCGAAGGCGGCCCCCUGGACAAAGACUGACGCUCAGGUGCGAAAGCGUGGGGAGCAAACAGGAUUAGAUACCCGGGUAGUC